GCUGUGCAGAUCCAAACCCCCACAUCGGACAAAACAUUUCAGUUGCCACUGAUUAUAAAGGUAAGUAAGUAUCAUAGACAAUCAGCAAAAGUGUGCAUCAGUGUGCAACAACAUGGACUCUAGGAGCGACACUUAGGAUGAUGGGAAUGACUCUUAAUCAUUUGACCUCUGAUCCAAAGGUGUGAGCAAAUUAAGAAAAAAAUGCACAAAAUAAUUUUGUAUUUACAGGAGUUUGUUCUUCAUAUACCAACAUCACUUUGUUUUAUCACUUUCCCACUAUAGAUCAGAAAGCUGUGGAGAAAAAAUAGCAACAUCCUGACAGAGAGAGCAUUACUUGCUUCUGUGUUGUUUUCCUAGAGAAGGUUGAGAUGAUGGACUUUGGCUGCACUGACCAUUUCAUGAAAUCCCACUAUAAGACAUUCAUAG
Molecule: long non-coding RNA, 426 nt
Organism: Ctenopharyngodon idella (grass carp)
Lineage: Eukaryota; Metazoa; Chordata; Actinopteri; Cypriniformes; Xenocyprididae
Exons: 2
Source: RefSeq, a predicted model, not a curated record